RNAcentral lists this ribosomal RNA (593 nucleotides) under uncultured bacterium. RNAcentral's name for it is "partial 16S ribosomal RNA". It matches the Rfam family "Bacterial small subunit ribosomal RNA", at positions 355 to 1375 of the family's 1533-position model. The record is from RNAcentral.
UGGGGAAUUUUGGACAAUGGGUGAAAGCCUGAUCCAGCAAUGCCGCGUGUGUGAAGAAGGCCUUCGGGUUGUAAAGCACUUUUGUCCGGAAAGAAAUCCUUGGCUCUAAUACAGUCGGGGGAUGACGGUACCGGAAGAAUAAGCACCGGCUAACUACGUGCCAGCAGCCGCGGUAAUACGUAGGGUGCAAGCGUUAAUCGGAAUUACUGGGCGUAAAGCGUGCGCAGGCGGUUUGCUAAGACCGAUGUGAAAUCCCCGGGCUCAACCUGGGAACUGCAUUGGUGACUGGCAGGCUAGAGUAUGGCAGAGGGGGGUAGAAUUCCACGUGUAGCAGUGAAAUGCGUAGAGAUGUGGAGGAAUACCGAUGGCGAAGGCAGCCCCCUGGGCCAAAUACUGACGCUCAUGCACGAAAAGCGUGGGGAGCAAAACAGGAUUAGAUACCCUGGUAGUCCACGCCCUAAAACGAUGUCAACUAGUUGUUGGGGAUUCAUUUCCUUAGUAACGUAGCUAAACGCGUGAAGUUGACCGCCUGGGGGAGUACGGUCGCAAAGAUUAAAAACUCAAAGGAAUUGACGGGGUCAUAGCUGUUUCCU